This 450-nucleotide ribosomal RNA is filed under the name uncultured Glomeromycotina. RNAcentral describes it as "SSU rRNA". It matches the Rfam family "Eukaryotic small subunit ribosomal RNA", at positions 569 to 1024 of the family's 1831-position model. Lineage: Eukaryota; Fungi; Glomeromycota. The record is from RNAcentral.
AGCAGCCGCGGUAAUUCCAGCUCCAAUAGCGUAUAUUAAAGUUGUUGCAGUUAAAAAGCUCGUAGUUGAAUUUCGGGGUUAGUAGGUUGGUCAUGCCUCUGGUAUGUACUGGUCUCUCUGAUUCCUCCUUCCUGAUGAGCCGUAAUGCCAUUAAUUUGGUGUUGCGAGGAAUUUGGACUGUUACUUUGAAAAAUUAGAGUGUUUAAAUCAGGCUUUCGCUUGAAUACAUUAGCAUGGAAUAAUGAAAUAGGACGUUUGAUUCUAUUUUGUUGGUUUCUAGGAUCGACAUAAUGAUUAAUAGGGAUAGUUGGGGGCAUUAGUAUUCAAUUGUCAGAGGUGAAAUUCUUGGAUUUAUUGAAGACUAACUACUGCGAAAGCAUUUGCCAAGGAUGUUUUCAUUAAUCAAGAACGAAAGUUAGGGGAUCGAAGACGAUCAGAUACCGUCGUAGU